RNAcentral lists this ribosomal RNA (505 nucleotides) under uncultured bacterium. Its description in RNAcentral is "partial 16S ribosomal RNA". It matches the Rfam family "Bacterial small subunit ribosomal RNA", at positions 28 to 507 of the family's 1533-position model. The record is from RNAcentral.
GACGAACGCUGGCGGCGUGCCUAAUACAUGCAAGUAGAACGCACAGUUUAUACCGUAGCUUGCUACACCAUAGACUGUGAGUUGCGAACGGGUGAGUAACGCGUAGGUAACCUGCCUGGUAGCGGGGGAUAACUAUUGGAAACGAUAGCUAAUACCGCAUAAUAUUAAUUAUUGCAUGAUAAUUAAUUGAAAGGUGCAAUUGCACCACUACCAGAUGGACCUGCGUUGUAUUAGCUAGUAGGUGAGGUAACGGCUCACCUAGGCGACGAUACAUAGCCGACCUGAGAGGGUGAUCGGCCACACUGGGAAUGAGACACGGCCCAGACUCCUACGGGAGGCAGCAGUAGGGAAUCUUCGGCAAUGGACGAAAGUCUGACCGAGCAACGCCGCGUGAGUGAAGAAGGUUUUCGGAUCGUAAAGCUCUGUUGUAAGAGAAGAACGGGCGUGAGAGUGGAAAGUUCACACUGUGACGGUAUCUUACCAGAAAGGGACGGCUAACUACGUG